AUUGAACGCUGGCGGCAGGCUUAACACAUGCAAGUCGAACGAGCGGCGGACGGGUGAGUAAUGUAUGGGGAUCUGCCCGAUAGAGGGGGAUAACUACUGGAAACGGUGGCUAAUACCGCAUACUAUCGGAUGAACCCAUAUGGGAUUAGCAAGUAGGUGGGGUAAAGGCUCACCUAGGCGACGAUCUUUAGCGGGUCUGAGAGGAUGAUCAGCCACACUGGGACUGAGACACAGCCCAGACUCCUGCGGGAGGCAGCAGUGGGGAAUAUUGAGCAAUGGGCGCGAGCAUGAUGCAGCCAUGCCGCGUGUGUGAAGAAGGCCUUCGGGUUGUAAAGCACUUUCAGCGAGGAGGCGUUACUCGCAAGAGAAGCACCGGCUAACUCCGUGCCAGCAGCCGCGGUAAUUC
Molecule: ribosomal RNA, 406 nt
Filed under: uncultured bacterium
Lineage: Bacteria
Description: partial 16S ribosomal RNA
Rfam family: Bacterial small subunit ribosomal RNA
Source: RNAcentral